Molecule: ribosomal RNA, 452 nt
Filed under: Klebsiella sp. 1400
Lineage: Bacteria; Pseudomonadati; Pseudomonadota; Gammaproteobacteria; Enterobacterales; Enterobacteriaceae
Description: partial 23S ribosomal RNA
Rfam family: Bacterial large subunit ribosomal RNA
Source: RNAcentral
GGUUAAGCGACUAAGCGUACACGGUGGAUGCCCUGGCAGUCAGAGGCGAUGAAGGACGUGCUAAUCUGCGAAAAGCGUCGGUAAGGUGAUAUGAACCGUUACAGCCGGCGAUGUCCGAAUGGGGAAACCCAGUGCAAUUCGUUGCACUAUCGUUUGAUGAAUACAUAGUCAAACGAGGCGAACCGGGGGAACUGAAACAUCUAAGUACCCCGAGGAAAAGAAAUCAACCGAGAUUCCCCCAGUAGCGGCGAGCGAACGGGGAGCAGCCCGGAGUCUGAAUCAGCUUGUGUGUUAGUGGAAGCGUCUGGAAAGUCGCAGGGUACAGGGUGAUACUCCCGUACACUAAAACACACAGGCUGUGAACUCGAAGAGUAGGGCGGGACACGUGGUAUCCUGUCUGAAUAUGGGGGGACCAUCCUCCAAGGCUAAAUACUCCUGACUGACCGAUAGUG